UCCUGACCUCAAGUGAUCUGCCUGCCUUGGCCUCCUAAAGUAUUUUAUUAUCUUUUUUUUAAAAAAGAGAUGGAGGUUUUACUAAGUUGCCCAGGCUGGUCUUGAAUUCCUGGACUCAAACAAUCCUCCUGCUUUGGCCUCCCAAAGUGCUGGGAUUACGGUCAUGGAUGUGAUUACCACCACACCCGGCCUGAACACACCGUUUAAUCUCUGUGAAUGCUCUUUUCCUCCUAGGUAAAACAGCAUAAUAAGAGUUCCUGACUCAUAGGUUGCAACAAAAACUGAAGAAAAUGCUAAAAAGUGCACAGCAUGGCCGGGCACAGUGGCUCGCGCCUGUAAUCUCAGCACUUUGGGAGGGCGAGGUGGGCGGAUCACGAG
Molecule: long non-coding RNA, 378 nt
Filed under: Homo sapiens (human)
Lineage: Eukaryota; Metazoa; Chordata; Mammalia; Primates; Hominidae
Description: HSALNT0126353
Source: RNAcentral